This 895-nucleotide long non-coding RNA is filed under the name Mytilus galloprovincialis (Mediterranean mussel). Lineage: Eukaryota; Metazoa; Mollusca; Bivalvia; Mytilida; Mytilidae. The record is from RNAcentral.
CGAGCUUUCUGCAACAAAAGUUGCAGGCUCGACAAAAAUCACUAAAUCAAAUACAUUACUAGAAUCAAUAUUUAUGAGCCUGACCAUAUGUGUCACAUCAAAGAAUUAUUUUUAUAAUAGGAGCCAUAAUUAGGUCCUUCAAAUUGCAGAAAUAGUAUAAAUAUUCAAUAUAUGCAAAUUAAGAUAUGAUAUAAUCUUGUUACAGACAUGUCAACUGUAUAGUCAUUGUGACAUCAUUUAUAAUCAAUUCUAACAUGACGCCCUUCAAAUGCUUUGAGUACACACCCGUGGUAAAAUAUGAAUAUAUUGCCUGGGCCUUUCCAAUCGUACUCCCACGUCAUAUGCUUUUUUAUGAAUGAGUUACCUGACAUCAUAGAACAAUGACGUAAGAAUUUAAGCAUUUUACAGGAAAAUACACGCUUGUGAAACCGAAAAUCACCACAACAAGGAAAUGUUAACAAACGAUGCUAAAAUGUGGUAUAAGCCAAUUUUUUUAUACAUAUAAGACAUAUUAUCAUUUAAAUUCAUCCAAAACUAUCUAAAUACCUAUUGUAAAUAGUUUGAGCAUGUCACCAAUUCGGUUUGCUCCGUUCUUUUACGCCAAUUUAAUAGUGUGUUUAUUUAUGGGAAUGGCAAAUAUUUGCCUCCACCUAGAGCGCUUCGCUCCAAAAGAAUUGUCGUAUUUGUCCUAUUAGAAUUGAAAUUAUUCAUGGGGGCUUCAAUAUAUCUAGAUUUUAUCACAGGUUGUCCCUUUAUCGCUCAGGGUAAAAUAUUUGUCAUAAAGGGCCAACUCAUGGUAAUAUCACGAUAUAUUCAAGCCCCCAUGAAUUAUUUCUUAAGUAAAUAUUCACAUACUUCACUUUUUUUUUAAAUAUGAAUAUGAAUGCAAAAAGUU